GAAACGAACUCUAAGACUGGAUAGGAAAUAAAAAGGCAUCUUUUUAUUUUUAAAAGACCUUUUUCGGAAGGUAUGCUUAAAGAGGGGCUUGCGUCACAUUAGUUAGUUGGCAGGGUAAAGGCCUACCAAGACUAUGAUGUGUAGCUGGACUGAGAGGUUGAACAGCCACAUUGGGACUGAGACACGGCCCAAACUCUACGGGAGGCAGCAGUAGGGAAUUUUCGGCAAUGGAGGAAACUCUGACCGAGCAACGCCGCGUGAACGAUGAAGUAUUUCGGUAUGUAAAGUUCUUUUAUUGAAGAAGAAAAAUAGUGGAAAAACUAUCUUGACGAUAUUCAAUGAAUAAGCCCCGGCAAACUAUGUGCCAGCAGCCGCGGUAAUACAUAGGGGGCGAGCGUUAUCCGGAAUUAUUGGGCGUAAAGGGUGCGUAGGCGGUUUAAUAAGUCUAUAGUUUAAUUUCAGUGCUUAACACUGUCCUGCUAUAGAAACUAUUAGACUAGAGUGAGAUAGAGGCAAGUGGAAUUCCAUGUGUAGCGGUAAAAUGCGUAAAUAUAUGGAGGAACACCAGAGGCGUAGGCGGCUUGCUGGGUCUUUACUGACGCUGAGGCACGAAAGCGUGGGGAGCAAACAGGAUUAGAUACCCUGGUAGUCCACGCCGUAAACGAUGAGUACUAAGUGUCGGGAUUACUCGGUACUGAAGUUAACACAUUAAGUACUCCGCCUGAGUAGUACGUACGCAAGUAUGAAACUUAAAGGAAUUGACGGGACUCCGCACAAGCGGUGGAUCAUGUUGUUUAAUUCGAAGAUACACGAAAAACCUUACCAGGUCUUGACAUACUCUGCAAAGCUAUAGCAAUAUAGUGGAGGUUAUCAGAGAUACAGGUGGUGCAUGGUUGUCGUCAGCUCGUGUCGUGAGAUGUUAGGUUAAGUCCUAAAACGAGCGCAACCCUUGUCAUUAGUUGCCAGCAUGUCAUGAUGGGCACUUUAAUGAGACUGCCAAUGAAAAAUUGGAGGAAGGUGAGGAUCACGUCAAAUCAUCAUGCCCCUUAUGAUCUGGGCUACAAACGUGAUACAAUGGCUGUUACAAAGAGUAGCUGAAACGCAAGUUUAUAGCCAAUCUCAUAAAAGCAGUCUCAGUUCGGAUUGAAGUCUGCAACUCGACUUCAUGAAGUUGGAAUCGCUAGUAAUCGCGAAUCAGCAUGUCGCGGUGAAAUACGUUCUCGGGGUUUGUACACACCGUGCGUC
This 1245-nucleotide ribosomal RNA is filed under the name Candidatus Phytoplasma sacchari. Its description in RNAcentral is "bacterial SSU rRNA". It matches the Rfam family "Bacterial small subunit ribosomal RNA", at positions 153 to 1398 of the family's 1533-position model. Lineage: Bacteria; Bacillati; Mycoplasmatota; Mollicutes; Acholeplasmatales; Acholeplasmataceae. The record is from RNAcentral.